UACGUAGGGUGCAGGCGUUAAUCGGAAUUACUGGGCGUAAAGCGUGCGCAGGCGGUUCGUUAAGUCAGAUGUGAAAGCCCCGGGCUUAACCUGGGAACUGCAUUUGUGACUGCAUCGCUGGAGUGCGGCAGAGGGGGAUGGAAUUCCGCGUGUAGCAGGUGAAAUGCGUAGAUAUGCGGAGGAACACCGAUGGCGAAGGCAAUCCCCUGGGCCUGCACUGACGCUCAUGCACGAAAGCGUGGGGAGCAAACAGG
RNAcentral lists this ribosomal RNA (254 nucleotides) under uncultured bacterium. RNAcentral describes it as "partial 16S ribosomal RNA". It matches the Rfam family "Bacterial small subunit ribosomal RNA", at positions 524 to 776 of the family's 1533-position model. The record is from RNAcentral.